GGUCCUAGUGCAGUGUGGAAGACUAGUGAUUUUGUUGUGAUGCUGAGCAAUGAGAAUAACAACAAGUCCCAGUCUGCCUCUCAGCACAGGGCA
RNAcentral lists this microRNA precursor (93 nucleotides) under Oncorhynchus kisutch (coho salmon). RNAcentral's name for it is "mir-7 microRNA precursor family". It matches the Rfam family "mir-7 microRNA precursor family". From Rfam's summary of the family: This family represents the microRNA (miRNA) precursor mir-7. The record is from Rfam by way of RNAcentral. RNAcentral also lists the same sequence under 5 other names. Lineage: Eukaryota; Metazoa; Chordata; Actinopteri; Salmoniformes; Salmonidae.